Caenorhabditis elegans is the source of this 189-nucleotide small nucleolar RNA. The record is from Ensembl. NCBI's taxonomy places the organism in Eukaryota, Metazoa, Nematoda, Chromadorea, Rhabditida, Rhabditidae.
CACCUAAGUUACCAUCAUCACACACAUCACCUCAAGUGUCCUUUUUUGAAAUGUUUUGCUCAAAAUACGCCGUUCUCCUGUCCGUACAUCUUUUUCUGCCUUUUCGCUCUACACUUUAUUAUUUUUUGAACUAUCUUCAUUUAUACCCUUCACAAUCACGGUUAACUUUAAUUUUUCCCGUCCUUUUAU